ACGUAGGGGGCAAGCGUUGUCCGGAUUCACUGGGUGUAAAGGGCGCGUAGGUGGAUUUGUAAGUCAGAGGUGAAAUCCUGCAGCUUAACUGUAGAACUGCCUCUGAUACUGUUAAUCUUGAGUUCAGAAGAGAGAAGCGGAAUUCCAGGUGUAGUAGUGAAAUACGUAGAUAUCUGGAAGAACACCAGUGGCGAAGGCGGCUUCUUGGUCUGUAACUGACACUGAGGCGCGAAAGCGUGGGGAGCAAACAG
Molecule: ribosomal RNA, 251 nt
Filed under: uncultured prokaryote
Description: partial 16S rRNA
Rfam family: Bacterial small subunit ribosomal RNA
Source: RNAcentral